RNAcentral lists this long non-coding RNA (384 nucleotides) under Danio rerio (zebrafish). RNAcentral describes it as "si:dkey-100e19.10 (ENSDARG00000102499.2)". Lineage: Eukaryota; Metazoa; Chordata; Actinopteri; Cypriniformes; Danionidae. The record is from RNAcentral.
CUGACAGGACAGCAUCUGAGUUGUGCCUCCACCGCAGAUCCAAACCGUGAAGAAGACCACCAGCAGCGUGGUAGAAAACAUCAUCUGCCGUGCAUAUGUAGCUGUGUCCCUGAUGGACAGGGCAAAAGUCAUGGCACCACGAAGACCUAAUGAGAGAUUAAAUCUUGGCUGGCUAUUACCAAUCUCAAGGCACAAACCUGCGAACAUCAUCAUGUGCUGGAAGUUGGAGCUGAUCUUGUUUCUACGGCCCAAAUUCAGCAGGAAAGAGAGUGGAUAGAUGUUCGCCGCUCUGCCCAGAAACACGGCCAGCUGGGAGGAGAAGUGUCAAGGAGAAACUGCAGAAAUAAAGCUAAUACUGCACUGACUGCAUCUACAAUCCCUUCG